Molecule: long non-coding RNA, 1052 nt
Organism: Gadus macrocephalus (Pacific cod)
Lineage: Eukaryota; Metazoa; Chordata; Actinopteri; Gadiformes; Gadidae
Exons: 2
Source: RefSeq, a predicted model, not a curated record
AGCACCUACACAGGCACUCACACAUACACACACAAAUACACAUACAUACUCAAUAGUCUGCUUUACAGACCAAUCAGAACAACUAGUUCUAACCACACCAGCAUUCAAAUCCGAACAUCUCACCUCUCGUGAUUGAAGGACCAGGAGACAUAAUCUCACAUAGUUACUUAAUUUUUGCAAGUGGGAAACUACAGUGAUUGGUCAAUGGUCUUGAAGGUGCGCUGAGAAGCCUUGGCAAACCGUGUGUGUGUGUGUGUGUGUGUGUGUGUGUGUGUGUGUGUGUGUGUGUGUCUAUUUGUGUGUGCGUGCAUGCGUGCGCGUGAGUGAGGUCACUGUUGAAUGGAUGAUGCUGUAUUGCAAACCUUUCAGGUCUAUUGGGAAUAUUAGCAAUCAUUAAAGCAACAGCUCCUCCACAACCUCCUUCCUUCCCCUCCGCCCUCCAAUCCCUCCAUUCCCAACUCCCCUACCUCACUCCCUAAAACAUCCCCCAGUCUCCUCAGGAUUCAAUGAGAGCACGAGAAUGUGAGAGAGAAGCAGCAUAGCAAACCGUUACUUGCUGAAACAAAGAACACCUCCUCCUGCCUCCUAAUCCUGCCACCUUCCCCUGCUAGUCAAAUCAAUAUUUCUCCCUCGAAGGGUCUAGUAUUUGCACGCCGCGCUGCAGCAGAGUUCUUUCAAAAGGUCAUGGAGAGUAGAGAGGAGGAGACGAGGUCUGAGGGUCCAGCAUCACCUCACACCACAGCCCCAAAGCACUCUGGCAGGUGUGUCUGGAUGGUUGGAGGUGGCCCAGGGGCGACGGUUUGUUAAGCGCCGCGUCGUGAGUCAGCUGCCUGUCGUCGACGGAGAUGCUGAACAAAGCUAAGCUGCUCAUACCUCAACCAUGAGCUCACCUGGCCAGGUCAGCCCUACCUGCACACACACACACACACACACACACACACACACACACACACACACACACACACACACACACACACACACACACACACACACACACACACACACACACAAACAUUCACACAUGCACAUAUAUACACUUACGCAUAUGCAAA